This 388-nucleotide ribosomal RNA is filed under the name uncultured bacterium. RNAcentral describes it as "bacterial SSU rRNA". It matches the Rfam family "Bacterial small subunit ribosomal RNA", at positions 28 to 417 of the family's 1533-position model. The record is from RNAcentral.
GACGAACGCUGGCGGCGUGCUUAACACAUGCAAGUCGAGCGGUAAGGCCCUUUCGGGGGUACACGAGCGGCGAACGGGUGAGUAACACGUGGGUGACCUGCCCUCAGCUCUGGGAUAAGCCUGGGAAACUGGGUCUAAUACUGGAUAUGACUCCACGGUGCAUGUCGUGGGGUGGAAAGCCUUGUGCGGCUGAGGAUGGGCCCGCGGCCUAUCAGCUUGUUGGUGGGGNGAUGGCCUACCAAGGCGACGACGGGUAGCCGGCCUGAGAGGGCGACCGGCCACACUGGGACUGAGACACGGCCCAGACUCCUACGGGAGGCAGCAGUGGGGAAUCUUGCGCAAUGGGCGAAAGCCUGACGCAGCGACGCCGCAUGAGGGAUGACGGCCU